CCUACGGGUGGCAGCAGUCGAGAAUCAUUCACAAUGGGGGAAACCCUGAUGGUGCGACGCCGCGUGGGGGAAUGAAGGUCUUCGGAUUGUAAACCCCUGUCAUGUGGGAGCAAAUUAAAAAGAUAGUACCACAAGAGGAAGAGACGGCUAACUCUGUGCCAGCAGCCGCGGUAAUACAGAGGUCUCAAGCGUUGUUCGGAAUCACUGGGCGUAAAGCGUGCGUAGGCUGUUUCGUAAGUCGUGUGUGAAAGGCGCGGGCUCAACCCGCGGACGGCACAUGAUACUGCGAGACUAGAGUAAGGGAGAGGGAAGCGGAAUUCUCGGUGUAGCAGUGAAAUGCGUAGAUAUCGAGAGGAACACUCGUGGCGAAGGCGGGUUCCUGGACAUUAACUGACGCUGAGGCACGAAGGCCAGGGGAGCGAAAGGGAUUAGAUACCCUAGUAGUC
This 446-nucleotide ribosomal RNA is filed under the name uncultured bacterium. RNAcentral describes it as "partial 16S ribosomal RNA". It matches the Rfam family "Bacterial small subunit ribosomal RNA", at positions 338 to 795 of the family's 1533-position model. The record is from RNAcentral.